This 604-nucleotide ribosomal RNA is filed under the name uncultured bacterium. RNAcentral's name for it is "bacterial SSU rRNA". The stretch from base 1 to 530 matches the Rfam family "Bacterial small subunit ribosomal RNA", at positions 338 to 873 of the family's 1533-position model. The record is from RNAcentral.
CCUACGGGAGGCAGCAGUAAGGAAUAUUGGUCAAUGGACGAAAGUCUGAACCAGCCAUGCCGCGUGAAGGAUUAAGGCCCUCUGGGUUGUAAACUUCUUUUAUCUGGGACGAAAAAAGGGUAUUCUUACUCACUUGACGGUACCAGAGGAAUAAGCACCGGCUAACUCCGUGCCAGCAGCCGCGGUAAUACGGAGGGUGCAAGCGUUAUCCGGAUUUACUGGGUUUAAAGGGUGCGUAGGUGGGCUUGUAAGUCAGUGGUGAAAUCUCCGGGCUUAACCCGGAAACUGCCAUUGAUACUAUAGGUCUUGAAUUAUCUGGAGGUAAGCGGAAUAUGUCAUGUAGCGGUGAAAUGCUUAGAUAUGACAUAGAACACCAAUUGCGAAGGCAGCUUACUACGGAUAUAUUGACACUGAGGCACGAAAGCGUGGGGAUCAAACAGGAUUAGAUACCCUGGUAGUCCACGCCCUAAACGAUGGAUACUCGACAUCAGCGAUACACUGUUGUGUCUGAGNGAAGANAUAUAUCCACCNCGAGUAGANCGCAGAUAGAACGACAAUAGAGUAGACGCGUGAGAGUAGACGACGACGACGACGAGGGAGGAGG